Long non-coding RNA from Homo sapiens (human), 733 nucleotides. Ensembl annotates it as long intergenic non-protein coding RNA 2492. Lineage: Eukaryota; Metazoa; Chordata; Mammalia; Primates; Hominidae. The record is from Ensembl.
AGGAGGAUCAUCUGCUGUGGGUGUUCCUGAUCUUUGAGCCAUGAUAAUGUUACUGGUUGGAUGUCAGGAGCAGGCCAUGUGGAUGAUUAAAAGAUGAAUAUCAUAUACAGCAUGGAUAUGUUGGACAAAAAGAUGAUUCACAUCCCAGACAGAAUGGAGCAGAGUUGUUAUGUAAAACCUCCCAGCGAAAGAAAUAGUCCAGAAAGCUUGAAGAGAAACUGAAAUUUGAAAAAUCUACCUAAAAAGGUGAUAAAGGAUUUUCAGUUUUGCAAAAAACGCAAUACAGAGUGUCUUUGGAAAGAAAGUUCUCAUAUGGAUUUAAAAUAUGAUUCAAUUUACAGAAGUCAGAGUUGUUCUUCCAGAUGGCAUGAAUCCAACAGUGAAGAAAUCAGAAUACGUUGCUUUUGUGAGGGGCAGCUGCUGAUUUUCUCUGAGCUCCGUUUCCAGCCUUCACAUGCUCUGCUAUUCAUCACAGGGUAAAUUCUGACUAUAGGAGGUACUGACAGAAGAUUAGGGAAGAACAGGUAUGGAAAAACCAAAGUAUUUCUCCCAGUCACCCACCUUCAGUGAACCCUGCUUCUGUCAGGAAACCCGCCGUGAUUGUCCAUGUGGAAACCUUACCUCUUUCCAUUGUGUCUGUAGCCGCAGGAGCAGUAACAGCUUCCCAAGCAUGGCUCAUGUCUGGUUAACUCAUGAUCCCCUUUCUAAUAAAAAUAUACCUGUAGAUCAAAAA